UUGCAAAUAAAAAAAAAUAUAUUUACAAAUGUGUUUAAUGUCACAAACACAACUCUACCUGGCAUUUAUUUGUGAACCGCUGUCUGUGCAUUUGUAAAUUACUGCACGCAUUUGUGGAUCGCUUCCUGUGCAUUUGUGGAUUUGAAACACUUCUAGCGUCGACGUGCAGAUAAAUCCACAAAUAAGUGGACUCCACCCACCGUCUACUUAACCCAAUCAGACAACGCCCAUGUUGCACUGACCAAUCGCAGCACGCUCUCUCUCCAACCAAUCACGUUUUGCCUAACAACCAGGGCGGGAUCAGACACAUGAACGCGAGUCACUCGCUACAGUCUCUUCAACAUGGCCGAUCAAGAGGAGUAAAGACAGUUACUACAGACCAGCUACAAAAGCUUACAUCAUUUUGGACUGGAUGGGAAGUCCCAUCCAAGAAUCUCCAGGUAAAUGUUUGGAAUGGAAGAUACUUCAAGGCUUCUACCUGCAGCAGGACCCUGAUGAUACCAGCUGAAAUAACCACAAUGGAUAACUUUGCAUCUACAUUGCAAGCUUGUGCUAACACAUCCUCCACUGGGUUUGGACUCAUUUAAUUCUGGACACUGGUUCAUUGUAAUUGUUUUUUCUAUGUACAAGUAAUAAUAAUAAAUAAAGUACUUCAAUAACAUUUUAAAAUAAAUUUAAUUAUUUUACAUGUCUUAAAAGGUUGUUUCCACAAGUUUUACUUAAGAUACAACUAUAUAUACACAUUUACAACCUUGCUGUCAAAAUUAGAGCAGCAGAAAUAAACCUUCAAAUAUCCCUUUAUUCAAUCAAAGUCUGUACAUAUGUGAGAGUCUUGAGGUAUACAUCUACUCCAAAUGAAUCAGACACUUGCAGUGGGUCAAUUUGCUCAUUUGUGAGUUGUGGCCUGUGAAUUACAGGCACGUUGACUGCAAAGUGAACAUGGUCAGCAUCUCCACCAUCUUGUUCAACUGCCAUUGAGUCUGAAUAUUCCAUCUAAAGGUAAACAAAUAAAUCAUUUUAAAUAUGGGGGGUUAAUCUAACAGAGCAAAACCAAUAAAGCAUUGUAAGAAGAAAUAAUUACCUCAGGGUUAAUUAUUGGAUUCUCUCUCUGGCCAAACACAUUCUCUCAUCCGACGAACGAUAGUUGUAUGAGUGACACCUAAAAUGUUACUGAUGUUUUCCUGGGGUAAUCCAAGCUUCUGAAAGUGGAUUAGUCUGUCAUUUGCUGCCUCACUGUCCUAAAAUGCAUAAUAACAAACACAGAACAUUUUGAUCAAUGAAAUAAACCUUGUUCAUAAUGAAAUAUUAGUCUAAUUGGUAAAUACAGCACAGUACUUUAGAUUUUUUUAUUUUUAGCAGAUAGCCAAUAUUCCAACAAUAUUUUUAAAUGUAACAUGCUACAUGACCAAGUGGUCAUUUAAUUACCUUAAAAAAAAAAUUUAAUAACACAGACGGACGGAUGGGUUCAGAAAACACCAGAGAGGUAGAAAACUGGGAAACACUAGUUAAAUUACAAAUAACGUUAUAGUUUUAUUUUGGAUGUUACUACA
This is a long non-coding RNA of Carassius auratus (goldfish), 1550 nucleotides long. NCBI's taxonomy places the organism in Eukaryota, Metazoa, Chordata, Actinopteri, Cypriniformes, Cyprinidae. The record is from Ensembl.